GGCCGAGCCGUGAACCUCCGGAAGGAUCAUUA
This 32-nucleotide ribosomal RNA is filed under the name Aspergillus niger. Its description in RNAcentral is "partial 18S ribosomal RNA". Lineage: Eukaryota; Fungi; Ascomycota; Eurotiomycetes; Eurotiales; Aspergillaceae. The record is from RNAcentral.